GGCGCCCACCACCAUGCCUGGCUAAUAUUUUGUAUUUUUAGUAGAGAUGGGGUUUCGUUGUGUUAGCCAGGAUGGUCUCAAUCUCUUGACCUCAUGAUCUGCCUGCCUCGGCCUCGCAAAGUCCUGGGAUUACAGGCAUGAGCCACCGUGCCCGGCCAACGAAACCUAUUUCUGAUAUAGUUGUUGCAUUGAUUCCAAAUAAUUUUGAAGAAAACUAGUGACUGUGGAAAUAUUUGCUGUGUUAUGAGCUUAGAGAAAAAUAAUUUAGUCUCUCACCAAUAAGCAUAAUAGUGCAAGAUCAAGGCACCAGCAGAUUCGGAGUUUGAUGAGAGACUACUUCCUGGUUCAUAGAUGGUGCCUUCUCACUGUGUCCUCACAUGGCGGAAGGGGCAAACAAGAUUUCUGAAGUCUCUUCAAGAACAGUAAUUCCAUUCAUGAGAGCUCUGCCCACAUGACCUAGUCACCUCCCAAAGGCCCUAUCUCCCAGUAGGGAGUUAGGAUUUCAGUGUACAUAUAUUGGGUGAACAAAAUCAUUCAGAUCAUAUACUAUUUUCAUUUAUAUCCAUUUGAUACCCACUUCACUGAUUUCAGUCUUUUUAAAGUUAUUGAGAAUUGUUCUGUGGCCUAUGAUAUGUUUCAUCCUCAUGAAUGUUCUAAGUGAACACUAAAGAAGACAUAUAAAGCAUGAACAACUAUAUGAAAAGAUGUUCAUCAUUAUUAAUUAUAAAGGAAAUGCAAAUCAGAACUACAAUAAGAUAACACUUCACAUCUCAAGCUAUUAUUAAAAAAUCAAAAGAUAGCAGGUGUUGGUGAGAAUGCAGAGAAAUUGAAACCCUUGUUCCCCAUUGGUGGGAAUGCAAAUUGAUGCAAACUUUCUGGAAAACAGUAUGCAUGUUGCUUUAAAAAUAAAAAAUAAAACUA
Molecule: long non-coding RNA, 921 nt
Organism: Homo sapiens (human)
Lineage: Eukaryota; Metazoa; Chordata; Mammalia; Primates; Hominidae
Source: Ensembl